RNAcentral lists this ribosomal RNA (427 nucleotides) under uncultured bacterium. RNAcentral's name for it is "bacterial SSU rRNA". It matches the Rfam family "Bacterial small subunit ribosomal RNA", at positions 355 to 774 of the family's 1533-position model. The record is from RNAcentral.
UGGGGAAUUUUGGACAAUGGGCGCAAGCCUGAUCCAGCAAUGCCGCGUGCAGGAUGGAGGCCUUCGGGUUGUAAACUGCUUUUGUACGGAGCGAAAAGGUCUGCCCUAAUACGGUGGGCUCAUGACGGUACCGUAAGAAUAAGCACCGGCUAACUACGUGCCAGCAGCCGUGGUAAUACGUAGGGUGCGAGCGUUAAUCGGAAUUACUGGGCGUAAAGCGUGCGCAGGCGGUUAUAUAAGACAGAGGUGAAAUCCCCGGGCUCAACCUGGGAACUGCCUUUGUGACUGCAUAGCUAGAGUACGGUAGAGGGGAAUGGAAUUCCGCGUGUAGCAGUGAAAUGCGUAGGUAUGCGGAGGAACACCGAUGGCGAAGGCAAUCCCCUGGACCUGUACUGACGCUCAUGCACGAAAGCGUGGGGAGCAAACA